RNAcentral lists this ribosomal RNA (506 nucleotides) under uncultured bacterium. Its description in RNAcentral is "partial 16S ribosomal RNA". It matches the Rfam family "Bacterial small subunit ribosomal RNA", at positions 30 to 523 of the family's 1533-position model. The record is from RNAcentral.
AUUGAACGCUGGCGGCAGGCCUAACACAUGCAAGUCGAGCGGCAGCGGAAAGUAGCUUGCUACUUUGCCGGCGAGCGGCGGACGGGUGAGUAAUGUCUGGGAAACUGCCAGAUGGAGGGGGAUAACUACUGGAAACGGUAGCUAAUACCGCAUAACGUCGCAAUGCCAAAGAGGGGGACCUUCGGGCCUCUUGCCAUCCGAUUUGCCUAGAUGGGAUUAGCUAGUAGGUGGGGUAACGGCUCACCUAGGCGACGAUCCCUAGCUGGUCUGAGAGGAUGACCAGCCACACUGGAACUGAGACACGGUCCAGACUCCUACGGGAGGCAGCAGUGGGGAAUAUUGCACAAUGGGCGCAAGCCUGAUGCAGCCAUGCCGCGUGUAUGAAGAAGGCCUUCGGGUUGUAAAGUACUUUCAGCGGGGAGGAAGGCGAUAAGGUUAAUAACCUUGUCGAUUGACGUUACCCGCAGAAGAAGCACCGGCUAACUCCGUGCCAGCAGCCGCCGCCG